Molecule: non-coding RNA, 84 nt
Organism: Bombyx mori (domestic silkworm)
Lineage: Eukaryota; Metazoa; Arthropoda; Insecta; Lepidoptera; Bombycidae
Source: Rfam
UUAACUGAAAUUUGUAUGAAGUUGGAACUUUCGUCUACGUUUGCCGCUAGGUGCGCUGUUCUAACUGCAUACAAAUUUGAGUUA